RNAcentral lists this long non-coding RNA (1688 nucleotides) under Sus scrofa (pig). Its description in RNAcentral is "lncRNA (ENSSSCG00030009316.1)". The record is from RNAcentral. Lineage: Eukaryota; Metazoa; Chordata; Mammalia; Artiodactyla; Suidae.
CUGCACUGUGGCAUAUGGAGGUUCCCAGGCUAGGGGUAAAAUCAGAGCUGUGGCCACUGACCUAUGCCACAGCCACAGCAACGGGGGAUCCUUAACCCACUGAGAGAGACCAGGGACCGAACCUGCGCCCUCAUAUAUACUAGUCAGAUUCAUUUCUGCUGAGCCAGGAUGCGAACUCCUAAGCUGCUUUAUUUUACUGGUCCCAGCCCACGUACACCAUCUGUUUCCAGACCCAGGGCGUGCCCCACCCCCACCCCACCCGUAUCUCUAACCUCAAAGACACUGUCCUCCCUCUCCCCACACUGACUCAGCACCUGCCCCAGCCCAUCCCCAGUGGCCCUGUCUGACUCCACAUCCAGCCCCCACCCUGCUGAGUCACCAUCUUGGACUCGUCAGAGGACAGCUCCUCAGGGGGCCCCCAGUUCAAUCCAAUCCCAUGGCCAACCCCAACCUGGAAGGGGGUAGGACCACCAGAAGGAGGCCAGAGGGGCCAUGUUCUUGAUGCCUGUGCCUGAGCACAGCCCUCUGGAUUCUCAGGAGAGCAUCUUGCCCAGACCUGAGGACUGGCAGGAGGCAGGCCAGAAGGACAAUUUAGAUGACUCAGCAACUCAACUCAGCAGUCACUCCAGGACUGGGUCCCUCUCCCCGCAACUGGAAGGGAUGAAAAGAGCCACUUGCUGGGGACGUUUGUGGAGGCAGGAAGAUGAUGUAAGGGAAGCACCUGCACAGGACCAUGCUGGAGCCACGGGCACCACAAUCACGUCCUUCAUGAAGAAAACCCAGGCCCACGGGGCAGAGCUGGGCACCUAGCACGGCCGUGGCUGCCACUGGGCCACCACUGAGUGGAUGCUGUGCCCGGGCACUGGCCUCCCUGCCUUUGCUGGGGCCCAGCUUGAGCCAGAUUCAGAUGCUGAGGGAUUUCUGGAGAACCCCUGGGAAACUCCAGAGAAAGGGGAGGUGCCAAGAUGCCCGACAGAUGCUCCCCAGGAGGACCACAGGCCUGGAGCUGCAACUCUUGAAUCACCCAUCUUUUUCCCCAGAAUUGUUUGGCCUGAAUUUAUCUACUCAUCUGUAUUUUUAGUUCCGUAAUGCUUUUCUUUUUUUCUUUUUUUUUUGCUUUUCAGGGUCACACCUGCAGCAUAUAGAGGUUCCCAAGCUAGGGGUCUAUUCUGAGCUGUAGCCACCGGCCUACACCACAGCCACAGCAAUGCCAGAUCCAAGCUGAAUCUGUGAACUAUACCUCAGCUCAUGGCAACACCGGGUCCUUAACCCACUGAGUGAGGCCAGGGAUCGAACCCGAAACCUCAUGGAUCCUAGUCAGGAUCAUUAACUGUGUGAGCCACGAAGAGAAUUUCCAUAAUGUUUUUCUUUCAAUGGGCUCAUUAAAAAAACAAAACAAAACAAAACAAAACAAAAAACUGGACUUCCCGUCAUGGCGCAGUGGUUAACGAAUUCAACUAGGAAACACGAGGUUGAGGGUUCGAUCCCUGGCCUUGCUCAGUGGGUUAAGGAUCCCACGUUGCUGUGAGUUGUAGUGUAGGUCAAAGACUCAGCUCGGACUCCGAGUUGCUGUGGCUCUGGCGUAGGCCAGCAGCAACAGCUCCAAUUAGACCCCUUAUCUAGGAGCCUCCAUAUGCUGCGGGAAAUUAAAAAAUAAAAAUAAAUAAAUAAAUAAACUUUAGAUAAGU